AACGUAGGAGACAAACGUUAUCCGGAUUUACUGGGCGUAAAGAGCGCGCAGGCGGCUGGUCAAGUCCGAUGUGAAAUCUCCCGGCUUAACUGGGAAACUGCAUCGGAAACUGAUCGGCUUGAAGGUGGGAGAGGGUAGUGGAAUUCCCGGUGUAGUGGUGAAAUGCGUAGAUAUCGGGAGGAACACCAGUGGCGAAGGCGACUACCUGGCCUGUUCUUGACGCUGAGGCGCGAAAGCUAGGGGAGCAAACGGG
Molecule: ribosomal RNA, 253 nt
Filed under: uncultured bacterium
Lineage: Bacteria
Description: partial 16S ribosomal RNA
Rfam family: Bacterial small subunit ribosomal RNA
Source: RNAcentral